RNA transcript from Alligator mississippiensis (American alligator), 1320 nucleotides. It is a transcript of the gene named exosome component 7, with no coding region annotated. The record is from RefSeq and is a predicted model, not a curated record. NCBI's taxonomy places the organism in Eukaryota, Metazoa, Chordata, Crocodylia, Alligatoridae. The transcript has 9 exons.
GCGGGAGAGCCUGUGACGCAGGGGGCGUCAGUCGUUCCACCACGCGUCACGGGGUGGAAGUUACGUACACCCGAUGCUGUGCCUCACGUCGGCUGACAAGGGUUCGAGGAACUUCGUUGCGUUUUGAUGACGGCAUCCGCAGUGAGCCGGAAGUGUUUACGAGCCGGCGCGGGGCAUGGCGUCUGUGGUGCUGAGCGAGGCGGAGAAGGUUUAUGUCGUGCACGGGAUCCAGGAGGAUCUUCGGGUAGAUGGCCGUGGCUGUGAAGACUAUAGAUGCAUUGAAGUAGAAACAGAUGUGGUAUCAAACACAAGUGGAUCUGCAAGGGUGAAGCUUGGCCACACUGACAUCUUGGUAGGAGUCAAAGCUGAAAUGGGAACGCCAAAACUGGAGAAACCAGAUGAAGGUUACCUGGAAUUCUUUGUCGAUUGUUCAGCAAAUGCUACUCCUGAAUUUGAAGGCCGGGGAGGAGAAGAGCUGGGUACAGAAAUAGCAAAUACAUUGUACAGAAUAUUUAUUAAUGACAGCAGCAUAGAUCUAAAAUCGCUUUGUAUUAACCCCAGAGAUCACUGUUGGAUUCUGUAUGUUGAUGUCUUGUUACUGGAAUGUGGUGGAAAUCUCUUUGAUGCAAUCUCUGUUGCAGUGAAGGCAGCUCUUUUCAAUACAAGGAUACCUAAAGUACGUGUUCUAGAGAUUGAAGAAGGUUCAAGAGAAAUUGAGCUGUCUGAUGACCCUUAUGACUGUAUUCGACUUAACGUGGAAAAUGUACCCUGCAUCAUCACAUUAAGCAAAAUUGGUUGUAGACAUGUGGUUGAUGCUACUCUUCAGGAGGAAGCAUGCUCUUUGGCUAGCCUGCUUAUUUCUGUGACCAGCAAAGGCUUGCUUACUUGUAUGAAGAAACUAGGCAAAGGUAGUCUUGAUCCAGAGAGUAUCUUUGAGAUGAUGGAGCAGAUCACUAAUCUUGACUCGUACCAUUGAGCUAGUGCCUGCUCUUAAAGAAUUUGCUUCAUCCUGUGCCUCAGUGGACCAAUUACAAGAUAAAGACACUAGAGGUGCGCCAAUACAUUGGUCCGAUCUUGGAUCAGCACUGAUAUAAAGAACAUUGACUGGAUUGGAAAUUGGCCUGAUGUGGCCAAUAAUUUGGCUGAUAAAUGCCCGUGCAUACAUGCAGCCGCAGCGCAGCAUGUAGGCAGCGAGGAGCACAGCCCGGCAGCUUGGAGAGCUGCAUGUAGCUGACAGGAAAAAAGGUCGGCAAGGUGUUGCAUGCUUCCCUACAGAAGAUCUUGGACAAAGAAGAAAGUUUAGGGACUACGCGCCCGAAA